Molecule: long non-coding RNA, 277 nt
Filed under: Pan troglodytes (chimpanzee)
Lineage: Eukaryota; Metazoa; Chordata; Mammalia; Primates; Hominidae
Description: long non-coding RNA NONPTRT002854
Source: RNAcentral
GGGUUGCAGGCCUGGGCGCCGGGGUUGGACCAGUCUCCCGGGCAUGGCACGCCCUGGUUUGGUGUGUACCCAUGGUUUGUGGCGGGGCAAGACGUUAAGUUGGGUGACACCGAGGUGAGCCACGGUCCUUGGCACCAGAUGAGGAACCACUGUCUCAAUAAGUGACACCAGUGAUGCUGUUAAACAAGGACAGUCCGGUUCAUGGAUUGUGACAACGCACGCUGACAUCAAGCAGACCCUGCCGUCAGCUGAGUGCCAUGAGAGGACAGUGACAACC